GGCAGCGUGGCCUAAUGGUAAGGCGUUGCUUUCCGGUGGCAAAGAUUGUGGGUUCGAGUCCCAUCGCUGUCG
Transfer RNA from Cyphellophora europaea CBS 101466, 72 nucleotides. It matches the Rfam family "tRNA". From Rfam's summary of the family: Transfer RNA (tRNA) molecules are approximately 80 nucleotides in length. NCBI's taxonomy places the organism in Eukaryota, Fungi, Ascomycota, Eurotiomycetes, Chaetothyriales, Cyphellophoraceae. The record is from Rfam.